GAGUAACACGUGGACAAUCUGCCCCCCGGCCCGGGAUAGCCCAGGGAAACCUGGAUUAAUACCGGAUGAGACGGGACCCGCGAUGGCGGGACCCGGAAAGGCGCUGCGGCGCCGCCGGGGGAUGAGUCUGCGUCCCAUUAGCUAGACGCGGGGUAACGGCCCACCGUGGCGACGAUGGGUAGCCGGCCUGAGAGGGUGGACGGCCACAUUGGAACUGAGACACGGUCCAGACUCCUACGGGAGGCAGCAGCUAAGAAUCUUCCGCAAUGGGCGAAAGCCUGACGGAGCGAACCGCCGCGUGAACGAAGAAGGCCGUGAGGUUGUAAAGUUCUUUUCGGGAGGGGGAACAACCGUGGCAGGGAAUGGCCGCGGGAUGACGUGAAUCCCGGAAUAAGCCCCGGCUAACUACGUGCCAGCCGCCGC
RNAcentral lists this ribosomal RNA (423 nucleotides) under uncultured bacterium. Its description in RNAcentral is "bacterial SSU rRNA". It matches the Rfam family "Bacterial small subunit ribosomal RNA", at positions 108 to 518 of the family's 1533-position model. The record is from RNAcentral.